CAGUAGCCACGGUAAUACAGAGGGUGCGAGCGUUAAUCGGAUUUACUGGGCGUAAAGCGUGCGUAGGCGGCUUUUUAAGUCGGAUGUGAAAUCCCUGAGCUUAACUUAGGAAUUGCAUUCGAUACUGGGAAGCUAGAGUAUGGGAGAGGAUGGUAGAAUUCCAGGUGUAGCGGUGAAAUGCGUAGAGAUCUGGAGGAAUACCGAUGGCGAAGGCAGCCAUCUGGCCUAAUACUGACGCUGAGGUACGAAAGCAUGGGGAGCAAACAGGAUUAGAGACCCGCGUAGUCCCUGUCUCUUAUAC
This 301-nucleotide ribosomal RNA is filed under the name uncultured bacterium. RNAcentral's name for it is "partial 16S ribosomal RNA". It matches the Rfam family "Bacterial small subunit ribosomal RNA", at positions 509 to 807 of the family's 1533-position model. The record is from RNAcentral.